CAGUAGCCGCGGGAAUACGUAGGGUGCGAGCGUUAAUCGGAAUUACUGGGCGUGAAGCGUGCGCAGGCUGUUUUGUAAGACAGGCGUGAAAUCCCCGGGCUCAACCUGGGAAUGGCGCUUGUGACUGCAAAGCUAGAGUGCGGCAGAGGGGGAUGGAAUUCCGCGUGUAGCAGUGAAAUGCGUAGAUAUGCGGAGGAACACCGAUGGCGAAGGCAAUCCCCUGGGCCUGCACUGACGCUCAUGCACGAAAGCGUGGGGAGCAAACAGGAUUAGAUACCCCCGUAGUCCCUGUCUCUUAUAC
Molecule: ribosomal RNA, 301 nt
Filed under: uncultured bacterium
Lineage: Bacteria
Description: partial 16S ribosomal RNA
Rfam family: Bacterial small subunit ribosomal RNA
Source: RNAcentral